This 1234-nucleotide ribosomal RNA is filed under the name uncultured bacterium. RNAcentral describes it as "bacterial SSU rRNA". It matches the Rfam family "Bacterial small subunit ribosomal RNA", at positions 44 to 1283 of the family's 1533-position model. The record is from RNAcentral.
GCGCCUAACACAUGCAAGUCGAACGGAGCACCCUUGAUCAAGAUUUCGGUCGAGUGAGAGGAAUCGCUUAGUGGCGGACGGGUGAGUAACACGUGAGGAACCUGCCUUUCAGAGGGGGAUAACAGUUGGAAACGACUGCUAAUACCGCAUGACAUAUCCGGAUGACAUCGUCUGGGUAUCAAAGAUUUAUCGCUGAAAGAUGGCCUCGCGUCCGAUUAGAUAGUUGGCGGGGUAACGGCCCACCAAGUCGACGAUCGGUAGCCGGACUGAGAGGUUGAACGGCCACAUUGGGACUGAGACACGGCCCAGACUCCUACGGGAGGCAGCAGUGGGGGAUAUUGCACAAUGGAGGAAACUCUGAUGCAGCGACGCCGCGUGUAGGAAGACGGUCCUCUGGAUUGUAAACUACUGUCUUCGGGGACGAAAAUGACGGUACCCGAGGAGGAAGCCACGGCUAACUACGUGCCAGCAGCCGCGGUAAUACGUAGGUGGCGAGCGUUGUCCGGAAUUACUGGGUGUAAAGGGAGCGUAGGCGGGUAAACAAGUUGGACGUUAAAUCUACAGGCUCAACCUGUAUCAGCGUUCAAAACUGUAUAUCUUGAGUUAAGUAGAGGCAGGCGGAAUUCCUAGUGUAGCGGUGAAAUGCGUAGAUAUUAGGAGGAACACCAGUGGCGAAGGCGGCCUGCUGGGCUUUUACUGACGCUGAGGCUCGAAAGUGUGGGGAGCAAACAGGAUGAGAUACCCUGGUAGUCCACACUGUAAACGAUGAUCUCUAGCGUGUGGGGGGACUGACCCCUUCCGUGCCGGAGUUAACACAAUAAGUGAUCCACCUGGGGAGUCCGGCCGCAAGGUUGUAACUCAAAGGAAUUGACGGGGGCCCGCUCAAGCAGUGGAGUAUGUGGUUUAAUUCGAUGCAACGCGAAGAACCUUAUCAGGUCUUGACAUCUCCUGAGUAGCGUAGAGACACGUGAUGUCCUUCGUGACAGGAAGACAGGUGGUGCAUGGUUGUCGUCAGUUCGUGUGGUGAGAUGUUGGGUUUUGUCCCGCUCCGAGCGCAACCCUUGUCUUUAGUUGCUACGCAAGAGCACUAUAAUGAGACUGCCGUGGACACCUCGGAGGAAGGUGGGGAUGACGUCAAAUCAUCAUGCCCCUUAUGAUCUGGGCUACACACGUCCUACAAUGGCAAUCGAACAGAGGGAAGCAACACAGCGAUGUGACGCAAACCCCAAAAAAU